Molecule: non-coding RNA, 693 nt
Organism: Manis javanica (Malayan pangolin)
Lineage: Eukaryota; Metazoa; Chordata; Mammalia; Pholidota; Manidae
Source: RefSeq, a predicted model, not a curated record
GAGCGCUUAGCGGCUGCUGGGUGAUUCGUACCAGCGGCAGGUUAGGAGAGGAUGGAAAUUGAAGGUGCAUUGGUUACAUUCGAUUGUAAUUGAUAAUCGUAGUUUAUACAUCGAAUAUUUGUAUUAGCGAAGGGUCCUUGCUUAGGAAACUGUGAAGUACAUUCGCGGUGCGCAUUUGUGCGGCCAAGGGGACAGUAUGGUUUGGGAUUUGCGCGGCAGAGCCCCAGUGACGCACCACCGGCUGUCACCGCCACGCACAUCAGCCCCGAGAGCACUGCCUUGCGGCACGCUAGGCAGGCCACCCGCACGCAUCCCGGCGCGUCCUCCCCUGCACCUCUGCCCCUCUGCCUGCCUGUCAUAGAAACGUCGGGAGGGCCCCGGAUGGGCGAGGGCGGUGGGCAGGCCCUGAACUCAGAGCUGCGGUGGGGACGCACAUCCUGGACUCCGGGGAAGUGAAGAAGCAGGCAAGAAGCAAAAACCGGCCCUCCCCUCACCUCGGGUACAGAUAAGCCCUCCGUGGCCCAGCCUGUUGAUAUGCAGAUGUUCUAAAGCCAGGCGAGAUAUUCAGGAAAUGUGAGUUUUACCCACUCACUGAGCUGCACCUCCUUCCUCCCAGGAUGUCCCCUUAACACAAGCAUGCGGAUUUUCUACAUUUUAUUCUGGUGUCUGUACUCGCAAGUCCUUAAACAUGCC